GAGCUCCCCACAGACUCCAAACAUUCCCGUGUUAUGAUGAUCCCUCGCGGGAUCAUCCAAUGUUCUGAUAAAACCAGAAUAAUAUGGGUUAGGCCUGGGGUGUUUGGUGUCUAUGAAAAGAGAAUUCCAUUUCCCACAUAAUACACGUGGUUCCAUAAUUCUGGGGAAUACCCAUAAGUAUUUCAGGAUAGCUGUUCAACAGAACAGCCAGUUAGCAAAUGAUGACCCAACCUCUCUCAUUGGAUGGGGGCGUGAACUUUGUAACCUGGGGGGGUCAUGUGACAAGUUCCUGGGCACUUCCCCCUCAUGCAUACGGUAAUGAGGGAGGGGCCCAGCAGGAAGGAUAAAAAGGGUACACACCCAGGUACUGAUAGCUCAUUCUGAGGUCCCAAUAUGUUGGGGGAUGGGCUCAGGACUUUCAACUUCUUAGCUCAGAGGGCACAAGAUAUUCCGUAAUGUACUUAGGAUUUGUCUCUUUUGUAAGAUCUUUUUAAUGCACCGUUUACCCUUGUAAUAUUAAAUAUAAAAUGUAAUAAGUUCUGUCCUUUGGCUCUAUAUCGAUUCCCACGUACCUUGUAUGGCUGCUCAGGCCUAGAGGUGUAUUAACUGCUUGGUUGUGUGUGUGCUAAUUAGCUAGUGGGACUGUCAGUAGGGCAGUGUGUAUGAAAAUUAACCGUGGCUGCUGGUGUGUGUGGAAGUAGUAGAACUAUCCCUCACUGCAGUAGGAACGUUUGUGUAUGAAAUAUUUGGGUAAUUAGGUUUCUAUCGCCUGCUAAUGAUAGAUGGUGGCAGCAAAUAGUUGUAUUUGGGUCGGUGGUUGGUUUGGGGGUGCUUGAUGUUAGUCUAACCUGUGUGAAAUAUGUAGUGAGGUAAAAAACAAUACCAAAAAAGUCCUCAGCGCUAGCAAAUGAUAAAAUGUCCAGUCUUACUUGAACCGGGUAACAAAAUUGGAUGUGUAAACGUUUUCUUUACUGCAGCUCUUACCAUAAAAUCAUGUUAAGCCAUGGUGGACUGCAGCAAUGAAUUAUAUAAUAUACAACUAAUGUUUUGAGGGGAUUGCGACACCAUAAAUAUGGCUACUGCUAAAAAAAAUUCUUUAAAUUACCCUCUGAACAGGGUGGGGGGCUAUGAUAAUUAGCUAGUUAGCUAGCCAGCAAGCUUUUAUCUAGGGUAGAUCCUUACCCCACAAGGGUUUAGGAAUAUAGGACACUUAUAUUUGAUUUUAAUUUACACUUCGUUUAGAUCGAUCGUUACUCACUCAGCCUCCUGCACAUAACAUUCUACUGAGGCGCUGUACAGAGCAUGUACACAUAGCGCCUUGCUGCAGCUACGAGCUCGGUAGCUGAUUUACCUAAUACGCUGCUAGGGGAGCCUUACGGAGCGUUUACACAUAGCACGUUGCUAUGGUAAUGCGCCUAGUAGCAUGUCAACAUAGUAUGUUGCUGGGGGCGGCUCACGGAGCAGCUAUGCUUGGCGCGUUGCUAUGGCAACGCGUUCGGCUGACAUACCGAUUCCGACUUCUCCAGGGGGUUUCUAGGUUUGAGCGUAAGUAGGAGGGCACCCCUGGGGACUGGCGCCCCCACUGCUAUUUGGGCUAUACGUCUCAGCACCAUACUCUUUAUUUUAGAGCACGAUACACUCCAGCUACACGUUUGGUUUUUAAGUUUACGUAUUGAUCUUCACGUAGCAAUUGGCAAUUAUAACAGCCACCACGAUUCUUUCUAGGCUUACCCAAUAGUGCUAAGCACCACAUACCCCUGUUUCCUUACUAAUAUAGCUCGUUACUAUUCAGUUAUGAGAACAUAAGGGUCACAGUGGAUGACGUCAUAAACGUCAGACAAGAGGUCCACACGAGACACAGAGGAGGCGUUCAUUAGGGCUAUAUAAGUUGGGCUACUGUGAAAGAGAUACCAUUUGAUUCUUGCUCCUGAGGAAGUGCACCGAGCAGUGCACGAAACGCGUUGGGCUUUUCGGGCUAUUGAGUUCCUAUAUCUUACUACAUACUGUAAGUUUUAUUCUUUAUAUAUUGUUUUAUAAUAAAUCAUAUUGCACUAGUGGCGUUUUUUCCUUCUUGUAUGCCUCAAUGAGGAUAUAGCCACAGUGCACAUGAGGAUAAUCAGACGUGGAUGACACAUCGAUACAAUUGGGACACAUUCCAGGGAUACAAUAUCUGUUCAAACAGCUACAAGUCUACAAUGAACACAUGACGUUUAUUUUACCUCAACAACACUGCCAUCUGGUGAGCAGUUAGCGGUACCACACUUGGUGUUAAUAUUAAUUUAUUGAACACAGGGAAUUCUAAACGGUGUUUAAUACUGUCACAAUAUACAAACAUUACUACACUAUUAUUGUUUUUCUUUUGUUCCCUAUUCUAUGCGCUCCGGAUCUGUCUAUUUUGUUGAGUUAACCUGUGUGAAUGGUGACUGAGUGUAACCCCCUUGUUCCCCGUCCCGUGUCAGGCGCAUCUGUGAGUGGCGUUUCCCUGACACACAUCAUGCAGUAAUCUGAUCACUGGAGCAUCUUUUAACCAUCCACAUACCGCUCGCUUCACCUUUGGAGUCUAUGGAGGGGGGAGGAAAAUGGUCUCCACAGUCUAAAUAUGACUGAAGAUCUAAGAGAUGAGUUGGAUAGACUAACAGCAGAAAACAGAACUGGAGGAAAAGAUGGACGAAUACAAAGAAAUGUGUGGGUAAAGUGUUUUGGGUAUUUAGUAGUGAGCCCACAUGUGCACAAAGGGUUAACAGAUAUCUUUCCUUUCCAACACAUGACAUCUGUAAGUCUGGAAAAUAGACAUCCUGCCAUAAAACUACACAACAACCUUUACAGUACAGUUCAUAUCAAAGAUGCAAAUGGCUAUACACACUGGUGUGGGUGCAGGGCCAGAGCUCCCAAGGAAAGGAGACCCUACAAUAUCAACAGAGGAAUGCCUGCAAUGGGAUUUGAUCUGGCAGUGCAACCUAUCUUGAUAUAACUCUUGGUUAACCUGAGAAGA
Long non-coding RNA from Xenopus tropicalis (tropical clawed frog), 2992 nucleotides. RefSeq lists it as uncharacterized. The record is from RefSeq and is a predicted model, not a curated record. The transcript is spliced from 2 exons. NCBI's taxonomy places the organism in Eukaryota, Metazoa, Chordata, Amphibia, Anura, Pipidae.